Molecule: ribosomal RNA, 582 nt
Filed under: Barnettozyma sp.
Lineage: Eukaryota; Fungi; Ascomycota; Saccharomycetes; Phaffomycetales; Phaffomycetaceae
Description: partial large subunit ribosomal RNA
Rfam family: Eukaryotic large subunit ribosomal RNA
Source: RNAcentral
AAACCAACAGGGAUUGCCUCAGUAACGGCGAGUGAAGCGGCAAAAGCUCAAAUUUGAAAUCUGGCGGCACUUGUGGUCGCCCGAGUUGUAAUUUGAAGAACGGUUCUUGGAGAGGCGCCUUGUCUAUGUUCCUUGGAACAGGACGUCGCAGAGGGUGAGAAUCCCGUAUGGCGAGGUGUGCUGAUCCGUGUAAGGGCCGUUCGACGAGUCGAGUUGUUUGGGAAUGCAGCUCUAAGUGGGUGGUAAAUUCCAUCUAAAGCUAAAUAUUGGCGAGAGACCGAUAGCGAACAAGUACAGUGAUGGAAAGAUGAAAAGAACUUUGAAAAGAGAGUGAAAAAGUACGUGAAAUUGUUGAAAGGGAAGGUUAUUAGAUCAGACUUGGGCGGUUGCCAUAGCGGUCCCCUUGUGGGGCUGUUCACUGGCGGCUGUCUGGGCCAGCAUCGGUUGGGGUGGCAGGAGAAAGCAUUGGGAACGUGGCUCUGCCUCGGCAGAGUGUUUAUAGCCCUUUGUAAUACUGCCUAGCUCGACCGAGGACUGCGGCCUUUCUGGGCCUAGGAUGCUGGCGUAAUGAUCUAAUAUCGC